AGUCGAGCGGAACGAUACCAGCUUGCUGGUAGGCGUCGAGCGGCGGACGGGUGAGUAACACUUAGGAAUCUACCUAGUAGUGGGGGAUAGCUCGGGGAAACUCGAAUUAAUACCGCAUACGACCUACGGGAGAAAGGGGGCAACUUGUUGCUCUCGCUAUUAGAUGAGCCUAAGUCGGAUUAGCUAGUUGGUGGGGUAAAGGCCUAGCAUGGCGACGAUGUGUAUCUGGUCUGAGAGGAUGAUCAGCGACACCGGGACUGAGACACGGCCCGGACUCCUACGGGAGGCAGCAGGGGGGAAUAUUGAACAAUGGGGGCAAGCCUGAUCCAGCCAUGCCGCGUGUGUGAAGAAGGUCAUGUCGUUGUAAAGCACUUUCCGCAGUGAAGAAGACCUAACAUGUUAAUACCCGCUUAGUGAGGACCCUAGCUGCAGAUUAAGCACCGGCUAACUCUGUGCCAGCGGCCGGGGUAAUACUGAGGUUGCAAUCGUUAUUUGAAAUUACUGUGGGUAAAGCGAGCGUAGGAUGGCUUGAUACGUCAGGUUUGAAAUCCCCGGGUUUAACCUGGGAACUUCGUUUGAUGCUGAUAGGGUAGAAUAGGUGAGCGCAAGGUAGAAUUCCAGGUGUAGCGGUGAAAUGCGUAGAAAUCUGGAAGUAUACCGGGGGCACAGGCAGCGUUCUUGCAUCAUAUUGUCGCUGAGACUCGAAAUCGUGUGAAGCAGUCAGGACUAGAUACCCUGGUGGUGCACGCCGUAAACGAUGCCUACUGGCCGUUGUGUCCCUUGAGUACUUUCUGACGCAGCUUGCGCAGUAAGUAUACCGCCCGGGGAGUUCGGCCGCAAUGGCUGGAGUUCCCAUGAAGUGACGGGGGGCCCUCAAAAGAUGUGGAGAAUGGUAGAUUAAUCCAAUGCAGGUGUGAAGAAAUCUUAACAUGGCCCGGAUUAUCUAGAGCUCCUGAGGGGAUGCGAGAGUAGGUUCAGAAGGCAGCUUCACGUGCUUGUUGUGUGACGUUAGCUCAUGUCUUGCGAUGUCCGGAUUCGUCCUCCUUAGAUCGCAUCCGUUUAGGCSGRGAACUCUAAGGAUACUGCCAGUGACAAACUGGAGGAAGGCGGGGACGACGUCAAGUCAUCAUGGCCCUUACGACCAGGGCUACACACGUGCUACAAUGGUAGGUACAGAGGGCAGCUACACAGCGAUGUGAUGCGAAUCUUUUAAAGCCUAUCGUAGUCCAGAUUGGAGUCUGCAACUCGACUCCAUGAAGUA
This 1261-nucleotide ribosomal RNA is filed under the name Psychrobacter proteolyticus. RNAcentral's name for it is "bacterial SSU rRNA". The record is from RNAcentral. Lineage: Bacteria; Pseudomonadati; Pseudomonadota; Gammaproteobacteria; Moraxellales; Moraxellaceae.